GACGGGGGCCCGCACAAGACGGUGGAGCAUGUGGUUUAAUUCGAAGCAACGCGAAGAACCUUACCAGGCCUUGACAUGCAGAGAACUUUCCAGAGAUGGAUUGGUGCCUUCGGGAACUCUGACACAGGUGCUGCAUGGCUGUCGUCAGCUCGUGCCGUGAGAUGUUGGGUUAAGUCCCGUAACGAGCGCAACCCUUGUCCUUAGUUACCAGCACGUUAUGGUGGGCACUCUAAGGAGACUGCCGGUGACAAACCGGAGGAAGGUGGGGAUGACGUCAAGUCAUCAUGGCCCUUACGGCCUGGGCUACACACGUGCUACAAUGGUCGGUACAAAGGGUUGCCAAGCCGCGAGGUGGAGCUAAUCCCAUAAAACCGAUCGUAGUCCGGAUCGCAGUCUGCAACUCGACUGCGUGAAGUCGGAAUCGCUAGUAAUCGUGAAUCAGAAUGUCACGGUGAAUACGUUCCCGGGCCUU
Molecule: ribosomal RNA, 472 nt
Filed under: uncultured Pseudomonas sp.
Lineage: Bacteria; Pseudomonadati; Pseudomonadota; Gammaproteobacteria; Pseudomonadales; Pseudomonadaceae
Description: bacterial SSU rRNA
Rfam family: Bacterial small subunit ribosomal RNA
Source: RNAcentral